This 490-nucleotide ribosomal RNA is filed under the name uncultured Bacillus sp. Its description in RNAcentral is "bacterial SSU rRNA". It matches the Rfam family "Bacterial small subunit ribosomal RNA", at positions 895 to 1382 of the family's 1533-position model. Lineage: Bacteria; Bacillati; Bacillota; Bacilli; Caryophanales; Bacillaceae. The record is from RNAcentral.
AGAAACUUAAAGGAAUUGACGGGGGCCCGCACAAGCGGUGGAGCAUGUGGUUUAAUUCGACGCAACGCGAAGAACCUUACCAGGGCUUGACAUCCCCUGACCGCGUAUGAAAGUACGUUUUCACCUUCGGGUGACAGGGAGACAGGUGGUGCAUGGUUGUCGUCAGCUCGUGUCGUGAGAUGUUGGGUUAAGUCCCGCAACGAGCGCAACCCCUACGUUUAGUUGCUAACGCGUGAAGGCGAGCACUCUAGACGAACUGCCGUUGACAAAACGGAGGAAGGUGGGGAUGACGUCAAAUCAUCAUGCCCCUUAUGUUCUGGGCUACACACGUGCUACAAUGGCCGGUACAGACGGAGGCGAAGCCGCGAGGCGGAGCAAAUCCGAAAAAGCCGGUCUCAGUUCGGAUUGCAGGCUGCAAUUCGCCUGCAUGAAGUCGGAAUCGCUAGUAAUCGCAGGUCAGCAUACUGCGGUGAAUACGUUCCCGGGCCUU